ACCAGUGCAUUUAUUGAUCCUCCUAACGCGUACUAGCACUGCAUGAAAACGCAUUAAUGUUUUAAUGCUUAAUGUAGAGAUUGGUCUUAUGAGGCACCUGCUACAACGAUACUUGGUACAUUAGGAUGAUUCCUUUUCUUUUUAUCAGAGAUUUUCCAGUUUAAUGUAGAGAACCUCAGAUCACUCAACAAGCACUUUGUUUCCUCAUGGGGACCCUCCACACUGGGAGGUGUGUCUGGUCUGCCUGCAGGGACGUCGUCUUUAGAUCGCUCAGACCUGGAGGACUGGGGGGUUCUGCACCGUGUGUGUCGUCUACCGCGGUGUAUCUGGGUCAGGGUGGUCAACGUGACUGUGACAUUUCUCGGUGUGUAUGGCCCCCCUUUAGGUGGUUUUUCCACACCCGUUUCCUCAGUGCUCUGCCAUGUUACUGGACCUUCUAAAAUGCUGUGCGUGUGCGUAUUUUGUGUGUGUGUGUGUGUGUGUGUAAGUGCGUGGGUCGAUAUAUGGGCUUGGUUUUUAUUAUUUUCUGUAAUGUUGGAUGUUUUUAUUUUGUGUGAAGCACGUUGCGAUGGAUUUUGUAUGAAACGUGCUGUAUAGAUAAAGUUUGAGUUGAUCAGAUUUGAUCCAGCCAUAGCAGGAGUUUGUAUUGUGGGGACAAACUGUAGGAAGUCUUAGCUAAUGAUUGACUAUUGGUCAAAAAUUAAUGUAAUUACUGAACCCAAACAAAAAUAAAUAAUUAUUGAACCAAACAAACAACAUGUGUUUCAACCUUAAUCAUCUCAAAUAUCGUUAACUCCCACUCACUUCUCCAGGAGCCGCUGACCCACAUUGAGGUUACGGGGAGGCGUCAUGUAAGCCGUAUUAACACCUGAAUGAAUCGCCUCUAAUCAUAUCUACGUUAAACUGAUCAGAUCUGUUUUGUAAAUAGGUCGCAUGUGACCCCUCACAGUUGCUUCACUGUGUCCUUCACACAGACAGUGGUGACUUUGAGGUUUAGCAAAAACACUAAACAGGUUGUUUUGCUACUAAAUAACUGUCUGUUAAGCUGAAUAAAAGAUGACACAUAGGUGCAGUCUAUAAGCAUUUUAUUGUUAUUUUGUUUUUACUAACAGUAUCAAGUCAUGACAUGAAACAGAUAAAAAUAACUUUUUACAAACUUGAGUUUUUUGUUUUUUUUUUAAACUUUUGGUCAUAAUAAAAAGAUAAUAUACACAGGCAUAAAGAAAGAGCACACUCUAUUGACUACAAGUGAAAAAACACCA
Long non-coding RNA from Mugil cephalus (flathead mullet), 1262 nucleotides. RefSeq lists it as uncharacterized. The record is from RefSeq and is a predicted model, not a curated record. NCBI's taxonomy places the organism in Eukaryota, Metazoa, Chordata, Actinopteri, Mugiliformes, Mugilidae. The transcript is spliced from 2 exons.